Molecule: long non-coding RNA, 1472 nt
Organism: Lycium barbarum (goji berry)
Lineage: Eukaryota; Viridiplantae; Streptophyta; Magnoliopsida; Solanales; Solanaceae
Exons: 4
Source: RefSeq, a predicted model, not a curated record
GACCCAAACAAACCCUUCUGUCUCCAUUUCUCUCUCUUUCCCUCUCACGUUUUCACUCCCCCCUCUCUCUAACCCUAAUACGCCAUCGACGUCACCAUCAUUGCAGGGAGUCACCAUCGCCGCCAUCCAUAAUCAGUACCGCCGUCACCGUCGCCACCGUCCCUAAUCAGUACCGCCGUCGCCGUCUCGUCCACAGCCAACCAUUUGAGGCUAUGCCUAGAAAGAAGAGGUCAUCUUUUCAUACCGUUCCCUCUCUUACGCAUAAAGAUCAAAUAUCUCUAUCUAUAGUAAUUGACCUGAGUGGUCUCAAUUGUAGAUUUCAUCCUUGAAAUGCUCAAAGGUCCUGAGCAGGAAAUGCCUAUGAGUACUACCAUUACUUGUCUUCUCAUGGUGCUAGGUUCAGAGAAUCUGAAAAGCGAGCAACAUUAUGAGAUAAUUUUAGAGAAUACUGAAGCAAAGGCCAGUGCCAGUUCCAGAUGAGGAUGCACUGAGAAAUAGUGACAUUUCACUAGAUGACAAGUUGUUACCAUUUGUUUUGUAUCGUUUAUCUUCACUAUCUCAACAGAUCAUCAGUUCUUUGAAAAGGCGAGUCCUUAUGUAUGGUAGAAACUAAUUUUUACUAUCUUUGCCUUGCAACUGAGGAGAAGUCUAGAAAAUAUGUGUACAUGAAACAGUAUCACUGUCUCCAAGUAUUUCUUUUUAAUGAUCAUAAAGCAUAAUAGUUGCUUAUUACCAUUGUGAAUGACAACAGUUCUCUUUUGACAUGAGUAUGUUCUUUCUUUUAACUCUUCUUUCAAAUAGAUUUUCUCUUGUAAUUAUGUCUCUAGAAAUAACAACAUUCGCCCUACAUGAAACCCGGUCUUGCAGACAUGAAGAACGUCGUCGUGGUACCCACAUAGCUUCUGCUUCUAAGGUAAUCUUGCACAUAACUAUGGGUUUAUCUGUGCUUAACCGAAUAAAUUAAGAAGCAAUGUUCUGCUAUGACAGCUAUUUCCCAAAUAAUUCGCCAAUUCUUAUGAUUUUCGAUAGUGUUAUCUUGAUUCUUAAUGCAGUGAACUCGUGAGGGAAGGGCUACACUGGCUGCUCUGAAUGUCCUGAGGGAAAAUUAAAGGCUACCCAGUUUGGGGUAAUCCAAACAGCAUGGACGCAUUUUUAAAUGAGAAUUCACCGCCCUUGCUGCAUGCCUGAGCUAUAAAGAUAUCUAGCAGGAAACGAAAGAAUUUGUCUUUGAUCCAGAAAUCAAUAUCAACAUUCAAAGGCGGAGUUUCUUCGUACUCAGCCACCCGACACACAGGUGACAGAAGAACAAAUAGAGGAAAGGUGGCUUAAGAGUGUUGGUGGUCCCACUAGUUUAAUGUUCUGUGGAUGUUUGCAAAUGUUGUGAAUUAGUUUAAUGUUGUGUAGAUGUUUGCGAAUGUUGAAGUAGCUUAAUGUCUCUUCGAAAUGUUUGAAUGACGUUUUGAUUCAACUUU